RNAcentral lists this transfer-messenger RNA (357 nucleotides) under Planctomycetota bacterium. It matches the Rfam family "transfer-messenger RNA". From Rfam's summary of the family: Bacterial tmRNA, also known as 10Sa RNA or SsrA, is named for its dual tRNA and mRNA-like properties. Its role is to liberate the mRNA from a stalled ribosome. To accomplish this part of the tmRNA is used as a reading frame that ends in a translation stop signal. The record is from RNAcentral. Lineage: Bacteria; Pseudomonadati; Planctomycetota.
GGGGGCGAUCGGUUUCGACUGGGUCACCAUAGGUUGUGGUGGCGUGCCGUGGUUGAUCAGUUGGCCACGUAAAAAGCUGAUCAAAACAUAAUUGCCAAUAAGCAAUUUGCAAUGGCUGCCUAAUAAGGCAACCCCGGCUUAGGAAUCCCUGUCUGAGGAGUCCGACAGCCGGUCACAAUUUCAGACUGGCAUCGGAUCAACGACCGCUACGUCCGAUGCGAGAAAAGUGGUGGUCUGGUCUCGUGAAGGCUUUGUUCGUUGAGGCUUCACGAGACGAGAUUAAUCGACGAACUACGCACGUAGAUGCUGCAAUUGCGGGUCCACAGGACGCGGGUUCGAUUCCCGCCGCCUCCAUUC